This 1277-nucleotide unclassified non-coding RNA is filed under the name uncultured fungus. RNAcentral's name for it is "sequence contains 18S rRNA gene, ITS1, 5.8S rRNA gene, ITS2, 28S rRNA gene". The stretch from base 338 to 1277 matches the Rfam family "Eukaryotic large subunit ribosomal RNA", at positions 1 to 961 of the family's 3401-position model. The record is from RNAcentral. Lineage: Eukaryota; Fungi.
GUUAAAAUUUUGAAUAAAUCAAAACUUUCAACAACGGAUCUCUUGGUUCUCGCAUCGAUGAAGAACGCAGCGAAAUGCGAUAAGUAAUGUGAAUUGCAGAAUUCAGUGAAUCAUCGAAUCUUUGAACGCACAUUGCGCCCCUUGGUAUUCCGAGGGGCAUGCCUGUUCGAGCGUCAUUACACCACUCAAGCUAUGCUUGGUAUUGGGCGUCGUCCUUAGUUGGGCGCGCCUUAAAGACCUCGGCGAGGCCUCACCGGCUUUAGGCGUAGUAGAAUUUAUUCGAACGUCUGUCAAUGGAGAGGACUUCUGCCGACUGAAACCUUUAUUUUUUACAGGUUGACCUCGGAUCAGGUAGGGAUACCCGCUGAACUUAAGCAUAUCAAUAAGCGGAGGAAAAGAAACCAACAGGGAUUGCCCUAGUAACGGCGAGUGAAGCGGCAACAGCUCAAAUUUGAAAGCUGGCCUUCGGGUCCGCAUUGUAAUUUGUAGAGGAUGCUUUGGGUAAAACGCCAGUCUAAGUUCCUUGGAACAGGACGUCAUAGAGGGUGAGAAUCCCGUAUGUGACUGGAAAUGUUAACCUAUGUAAAGCUCCUUCGACGAGUCGAGUUGUUUGGGAAUGCAGCUCUAAAUGGGAGGUAAAUUUCUUCUAAAGCUAAAUAUUGGCGAGAGACCGAUAGCGCACAAGUAGAGUGAUCGAAAGAUGAAAAGCACUUUGGAAAGAGAGUUAAAAAGCACGUGAAAUUGUUGAAAGGGAAGCGCUUGCAAUCAGACUUGUUUAAACUGUUCGGCCGGUCUUCUGACCGGUUUACUCAGUUUGGACAGGCCAGCAUCAGUUUCGGCGGCCGGAUAAAGGCUCUGGGAAUGUGGCCUCCACUUCGGUGGAGGUGUUAUAGCCCAGUGUGUAAUACGGCCAGCCGGGACUGAGGUCCGCGCUUCGGCUAGGAUGCUGGCGUAAUGGUUGUAAGCGACCCGUCUUGAAACACGGACCAAGGAGUCUAACAUCUAUGCGAGUGUUCGGGUGUCAAACCCCUGCGCGUAAUGAAAGUGAACGGAGGUGAGAACCGCAAGGUGCAUCAUCGACCGAUCCUGAUGUCUUCGGAUGGAUUUGAGUAAGAGCAUAGCUGUUGGGACCCGAAAGAUGGUGAACUAUGCCUGAAUAGGGUGAAGCCAGAGGAAACUCUGGUGGAGGCUCGCAGCGGUUCUGACGUGCAAAUCGAUCGUCAAAUUUGGGUAUAGGGGCGAAAGACUAAUCGAACCAUCUAGUAGCUGGUUCCUGC